CACGUAGGGCGCAAGCGUUGUCCGGAAUUAUUGGGCGUAAAGAGCUCGUAGGUGGUCCGCUACGUCUGUUGUGAAAAUCCAGGGCUUAACCCUGGACUUGCUGCGGAUACGGGCGGACUAGAGGUAGGUAGGGGAGAAUGGAAUUCCCGGUGUAGCGGUGAAAUGCGCAGAUAUCGGGAGGAACACCGGUGGCGAAGGCGGUUCUCUGGGCCUUACCUGACACUGAGGAGCGAAAGCGUGGGGAGCGAACAGG
Molecule: unclassified non-coding RNA, 253 nt
Filed under: uncultured Frankiales bacterium
Lineage: Bacteria; Bacillati; Actinomycetota; Actinomycetes; Frankiales
Description: contains 16S-23S intergenic spacer region
Rfam family: Bacterial small subunit ribosomal RNA
Source: RNAcentral